RNAcentral lists this ribosomal RNA (195 nucleotides) under Staphylococcus sp. At-VSt. Its description in RNAcentral is "partial 16S ribosomal RNA". It matches the Rfam family "Bacterial small subunit ribosomal RNA", at positions 338 to 524 of the family's 1533-position model. RNAcentral also lists the same sequence under 2 other names. The record is from RNAcentral. Lineage: Bacteria; Bacillati; Bacillota; Bacilli; Caryophanales; Staphylococcaceae.
CCUACGGGAGGCAGCAGUAGGGAAUCUUCGGCAAUGGACGGAAGUCUGACCGAGCAACGCCGCGUGAGUGAAGAAGGUUUUCGGAUCGUAAAGCUCUGUUGUAAGAGAAGAACGAGUGUGAGAGUGGAAAGUUCACACUGUGACGGUAUCUUACCAGAAAGGGACGGCUAACUACGUGCCAGCAGCCGCGGUAAU